GCUGUGAUAGGGAAUGCUAGGGGACUUGCUCCAGGGAAAAUGCCCCUGGGGGUGGCCUCUCAGAGGAGGUAAGGCCUGAAGAGUUAGAAAGGAUCAGCCAUGCAAACAGCUCACCUGGCCUGGGGUGCACCCCAUCAGAAUGUGCACCAAAUGAGCAAAGUCACAGAAAGCAGACCUUCCCAUAAAUCAGCUCUAAAGAACAAGAAAAGCCUGCCCAGAAGAGCCUAUCCAUGAUGAGGUGUUUUCUUGGAGCUUCCUGAACAUGAAGAGCAAGAAGACAGCUGGAAUCUGUUUUGACAUUUAGAAGGGGAUUUUGUUUGUUUAUUUAUUUGUUUAAUGGAGCAAAGACAUGUCACAGAUUACUUAAACAUAUUAACAAGUCAUAGUUUAAAAUAAGUUCAUGAGGUUGCAGGAGUAGGUUUGCCACAUGUUCUGCAAGUGUGCCUUUCCCAAGAAAACAAGGAUGGUGUCUUUUUUUAAGUUGCCUUUAUGUCCACAUUACCCAGCACAUAGUAAAUGCUUUCUGAGUAAGUGAAAUAACAAGAAUUAGAUAUCAGACCUGCUCUGUCUGAACUCUGUCCAUAUCAGCGGCAACCUCAACUCAUGGUUAGUAUGUAUAUUGGUUUUCCAUGACUGCAUAAUAAAUUAUCCCAAAAUAUAGCUGCUUCAAACAAC
Molecule: long non-coding RNA, 675 nt
Filed under: Mustela putorius furo (domestic ferret)
Lineage: Eukaryota; Metazoa; Chordata; Mammalia; Carnivora; Mustelidae
Description: lncRNA (ENSMPUG00000026507.1)
Source: RNAcentral